This 490-nucleotide ribosomal RNA is filed under the name uncultured bacterium. Its description in RNAcentral is "bacterial SSU rRNA". It matches the Rfam family "Bacterial small subunit ribosomal RNA", at positions 30 to 521 of the family's 1533-position model. The record is from RNAcentral.
AUUGAACGCUGGCGGCAUGCCUUACACAUGCAAGUCGAACGGUAACAGGUCUUCGGAUGCUGACGAGUGGCGAACGGGUGAGUAAUACAUCGGAACGUGCCCGAUCGUGGGGGAUAACGCAGCGAAAGCUGUGCUAAUACCGCAUACGAUCUACGGAUGAAAGCGGGGGAUCGCAAGACCUCGCGCGGACGGAGCGGCCGAUGGCAGAUUAGGUAGUUGGUGGGAUAAAAGCUUACCAAGCCGACGAUCUGUAGCUGGUCUGAGAGGACGACCAGCCACACUGGGACUGAGACACGGCCCAGACUCCUACGGGAGGCAGCAGUGGGGAAUUUGGACAAUGGGGAAACCCUGAUCCAGCCAUGCCGCGUGCAGGAUGAAGGCCUUCGGUUGUAACUGCUUUGUACGGAACGAAAGGUCCUUUCUAAUAAAGAGGGCUCAUGACGGUACCGUAAGAAUAAGCACCGGCUAACUACGUGCCAGCAGCCGCGGU